RNAcentral lists this ribosomal RNA (339 nucleotides) under Triticum aestivum (bread wheat). Its description in RNAcentral is "partial small subunit ribosomal RNA". The record is from RNAcentral. Lineage: Eukaryota; Viridiplantae; Streptophyta; Magnoliopsida; Poales; Poaceae.
AUGGCAACACAUUAUUGGAUCAUAAUAUGUGGCAUAAAGCACCAUGUUCAGGUAGGGGAUUACAGCGGGGUGCGGGAGAGUGGAACGCGUAAAAGAGAUGAGGAUGGUGAUGAAGAAGGUGAUGGUGAUGAAGAAGGUGAUGUUGAUGAAGACGAUCACCGCGGCGAUGGUUCCCCCGGUGGCACUCCGGCGCCACCGAAAGAGAGGGGGAGAGAUCCUCCCCCUUGUGCUUCCUCCUCCACGGCCUCCCCCCUAGAUGGGGAGAGGUUCUCUCUCUGGGCCUGGGCCUCGAUGGUGAUGAUGGCGCCCUCCGGGAUCCUCCUCCAUAGCCUCCGGUGA